ACUCCUACGGGAGGCAGCAGUGGGGAAUAUUGCACAAUGGGGAAACCCUGAUGCAGCCAUGCCGCGUGUGUGAAGAAGGCCUCGGUUGUAAAGCACUUCAGUAGGGAGGAAGGUAGUGUAGUUAACACCUGCACUAUUUGACGUUACCUACAGAAGAAGCACCGGCUAACUCCGUGCCAGCAGCCGCGGUAAUACGGAGGGGUGCGAGCGUUAAUCGGAAUUACUGGCGUAAAGCGCAUGCAGGCGGCCUGUUAAGUCAGAUGUGAAAGCCCGGGGGCUUAACCUCGGAAUUGCAUUUGAAACUGGCAGGCUAGAGUCUUGUAGAGGGGGUAGAAUUUCAGGUGUAGCGGUGAAAUGCGUAGAGAUCUGAAGGAAUACCAGUGGCGAAGGCGGCCCCCUGGACAAAGACUGACGCUCAGAUGCGAAAGCGUGGGAGCAAACAGGAUUAGAUACCCUGGUAGCACAGAG
This 468-nucleotide ribosomal RNA is filed under the name uncultured bacterium. RNAcentral's name for it is "bacterial SSU rRNA". It matches the Rfam family "Bacterial small subunit ribosomal RNA", at positions 335 to 799 of the family's 1533-position model. The record is from RNAcentral.